AUUGAACGCUGGCGGCAGGCUUAACACAUGCAAGUCGAACGAGUGGCGGACGGGUGAGUAAUGCUUGUGAAUAUGGCUUACGGAGGGGGAUAACGACGGGAAACCGUCGCUAAUACCGCGUACCAUAGGAUGAGCCCACGGGGGAUUAGGGAGUGGGGGGGGUAAUGGCCUAUCAGGCCGACGAUAUCUAGCUGGUCUGAGAGGAUGACCAGCCACAUCGGGACUGAGACACUGCCCGGACUCCUACGUGAGGCAGCAGUGGGGAAUAUUGCGAAAUGGGGGCAACCCUGACGCAGCCAUGCCGCGUGAAUGAAGAAGGCCUUCGGGUUGUAAAGGACUUUUGUCAGGGAAGCGGUACCUGAAGAAUAAGCACCGGCUAACUACGUGCCAGCAGCCGCGGUAAUAC
This 406-nucleotide ribosomal RNA is filed under the name uncultured bacterium. Its description in RNAcentral is "partial 16S ribosomal RNA". It matches the Rfam family "Bacterial small subunit ribosomal RNA", at positions 30 to 526 of the family's 1533-position model. The record is from RNAcentral.